UGAGGAAUAUUGGUCAAUGGACGAGAGUCUGAACCAGCCAAGUAGCGUGAAGGAUGACUGCCCUAUGGGUUGUAAACUUCUUUUAUACGGGAAUAAAGUUAGCCACGUGUGGCUUUUUGUAUGUACCGUAUGAAUAAGGAUCGGCUAACUCCGUGCCAGCAGCCGCGGUAAUACGGAGGAUCCGAGCGUUAUCCGGAUUUAUUGGGUUUAAAGGGAGCGUAGGCGGGUUGUUAAGUCAGUUGUGAAAGUUUGCGGCUCAACCGUAAAAUUGCAGUUGAUACUGGUGACCUUGAGUGCAACAGAGGUAGGCGGAAUUCGUGGUGUAGCGGUGAAAUGCUUAGAUAUCACGAAGAACUCCGAUUGCGAAGGCAGCUUACUGGAUUGUAACUGACGCUGAUGCUCGAAAGCGUGGGUA
RNAcentral lists this ribosomal RNA (415 nucleotides) under uncultured Bacteroides sp. RNAcentral describes it as "bacterial SSU rRNA". It matches the Rfam family "Bacterial small subunit ribosomal RNA", at positions 355 to 767 of the family's 1533-position model. Lineage: Bacteria; Pseudomonadati; Bacteroidota; Bacteroidia; Bacteroidales; Bacteroidaceae. The record is from RNAcentral.